RNAcentral lists this ribosomal RNA (253 nucleotides) under uncultured bacterium. Its description in RNAcentral is "partial 16S ribosomal RNA". It matches the Rfam family "Bacterial small subunit ribosomal RNA", at positions 524 to 776 of the family's 1533-position model. The record is from RNAcentral.
UACGUAGGGACCGAGCGUUGUCCGGAAUCAUUGGGCGUAAAGAGCGUGUAGGCGGCUCGGUAAGUCCGCUGUAAAAGUCAAAGGCUCAACCUUUGAAUGUCAGUGGAUACUGCCGGGCUAGAGUCCGGAAGAGGCGAGUGGAACUCCUGGUGUAGCGGUGGAAUGCGCAGAUAUCAGGAAGAACACCAACGGCGAAGGGAGCUCGCUGGGACGGUACUGACGCUGAGACGCGAAAGCGUGGGGAGCGAACAGG